Molecule: ribosomal RNA, 599 nt
Filed under: Meruliopsis pseudocystidiata
Lineage: Eukaryota; Fungi; Basidiomycota; Agaricomycetes; Polyporales; Irpicaceae
Description: partial 28S ribosomal RNA
Rfam family: Eukaryotic large subunit ribosomal RNA
Source: RNAcentral
UAACAAGGAUUCCCCUAGUAACGGCGAGUGAAGCGGGAAGAGCUCAAAUUUAAAAUCUGGCAGUCUUUGGCUGUCCGAGUUGUAGUCUAGAGAAGUGUUUUCCGCGCUGGACCGUGUACAAGUCUCUUGGAACAGAGCGUCAUAGAGGGUGAGAAUCCCGUCUUUGACACGGACUACCAGUGCUUUGUGAUGCGCUCUCAAAGAGUCGAGUUGUUUGGGAAUGCAGCUCAAAAUGGGUGGUAAAUUCCAUCUAAAGCUAAAUAUUGGCGAGAGACCGAUAGCGAACAAGUACCGUGAGGGAAAGAUGAAAAGCACUUUGGAAAGAGAGUUAAACAGUACGUGAAAUUGCUGAAAGGGAAACGCUUGAAGUCAGUCGCGUCGACUAGAACUCAGCCUUGCUUUUGCUCGGUGCAUUUUCUAGUAGACGGGCCAGCAUCAGUUUUGAUUGCAGGAUAAAGGUCAGGGGAAUGUGGCACCUUCGGGUGUGUUAUAGCCUCUGAUUGCAUACUGUGAUUGGGACUGAGGAUCUCAGCACGCCUUUAUGGCCGGGGUUCGCCCACGUUCGUGCUUAGGAUGCUGGCGUAAUGGCUUUAAACGAC